Molecule: long non-coding RNA, 763 nt
Organism: Hemibagrus wyckioides
Lineage: Eukaryota; Metazoa; Chordata; Actinopteri; Siluriformes; Bagridae
Exons: 3
Source: RefSeq, a predicted model, not a curated record
CCUGGUGUAAAGGUUCCUCCCUGAAUUACUGGAAUGUUAUAAUGUUUUUCGGUCAGACGAACAGGUUUUUCCCCGCGAGCGAGCAUUCUGCUGGCACAUGGAGGCUUUCGUUAAGAGGGGAAAUGAUUUCUCAUAGACGUUUGAUCUGCUUUGAACUGAUGUAUGACAUCACAGGAUGCGUUUGAUGCAUCUAGUCGCCCACAUCCAAAUUUUGAACACAUGACCUAAACACUACAGGUUAGUCUAUAUUGACCAGAAAUGAAAGGAAUUUGCUCGUCACAAAACAAACUCUAAAGGCUGAACAUCAUUCGAUCGCUCAUCUUCAGUUCACGUGCCACGAAGAGGUUGAUGUUCCGUGUGCUUUCUCAUGGUGUCUGGUUCAACUACCAUGACAAGGACGUUAUUUGUUCCCAGAAUUAUUUCAGCUGAAUCCAAACACAGAAGCUACAUGACCCAAAGCGCCACCUGAAGACGGAACAGCUGCUAAAGCUCAAGCAGAAGUGUGUGAAUGUUCAUGGUAUUUAAUCAUAAAGCUGUGUUUUGCUUCAUAACAGCUGAAGACUUCAGACUGACGAUUGUUACAUUCCUGAGUCCUUCCUCUACAUUUAUCUUCUCGUCUUCACAGAUGAUUUGUGGUGACAAAAUGACAAAUCUGCUGUCUCCUUCUUUACCUUGCUGAUUUAUAUUCACGUCACGCAACACACACUCUUACUGUACAAAUAAACUACACUGUGUGUGUGUGUGUGUGUUUACGUACCGGCUC